CUCAAACAAAGGAGUUAAGUGCUGGGCCUCCAGACAAAUAUAAGAAUCAGUGCACAAGAGUGUGUUUCUUUCCAGGUGCCGCGUACUGCUGAGAAAAAGAUGUUGUUUUAUGGCAGCAAGACAUGGAACUUCACCACCUUUGAAGAAUUAAAAAUUGGUAUCCCACAGAGGGCAAUGGAGAGGCACAUGAUUUUGGCAUGGGGUGCUAUAAGCUAUGAAUCAACAGCAUCAUCAGACUCAAUCAGCCAACAUUUCAAGAUUCCUGCCAGGCCUUCACAGCUGUUGGAGUGGCCUCAGGCAUG
Molecule: non-coding RNA, 302 nt
Organism: Phascolarctos cinereus (koala)
Lineage: Eukaryota; Metazoa; Chordata; Mammalia; Diprotodontia; Phascolarctidae
Source: RefSeq, a predicted model, not a curated record